This 1369-nucleotide ribosomal RNA is filed under the name uncultured bacterium. RNAcentral's name for it is "bacterial SSU rRNA". It matches the Rfam family "Bacterial small subunit ribosomal RNA", at positions 28 to 1381 of the family's 1533-position model. The record is from RNAcentral.
GACGAACGCUGGCGGCGUGCCUAAUACAUGCAAGUAGAACGCUGAAGAGAGGAGCUUGCUCUUCUUGGAUGAGUUGCGAACGGGUGAGUAACGCGUAGGUAACCUGCCUUGUAGCGGGGGAUAACUAUUGGAAACGAUAGCUAAUACCGCAUAACAAUGGAUGACACAUGUCAUUUAUUUGAAAGGGGCAAUUGCUCCACUACAAGAUGGACCUGCGUUGUAUUAGCUAGUAGGUGAGGUAACGGCUCACCUAGGCGACGAUACAUAGCCGACCUGAGAGGGUGAUCGGCCACACUGGGACUGAGACACGGCCCAGACUCCUACGGGAGGCAGCAGUAGGGAAUCUUCGGCAAUGGGGGCAACCCUGACCGAGCAACGCCGCGUGAGUGAAGAAGGUUUUCGGAUCGUAAAGCUCUGUUGUAAGUCAAGAACGAGUGUGAGAGUGGAAGGUUCACACUGUGACGGUAGCUUACCAGAAAGGGACGGCUAACUACGUGCCAGCAGCCGCGGUAAUACGUAGGUCCCGAGCGUUGUCCGGAUUUAUUGGGCGUAAAGCGAGCGCAGGCGGUUUGAUAAGUCUGAAGUUAAAGGCUGUGGCUCAACCAUAGUUCGCUUUGGAAACUGUCAAACUUGAGUGCAGAAGGGGAGAGUGGAAUUCCAUGUGUAGCGGUGAAAUGCGUAGAUAUGUGGAGGAACACCGGUGGCGAAAGCGGCUCUCUGGUCUGUAACUGACGCUGAGGCUCGAAAGCGUGGGGAGCGAACAGGAUUAGAUACCCUGGUAGUCCACGCCGUAAACGAUGAGUGCUAGGUGUUGGAUCCUUUCCGGGAUUCAGUGCCGCAGCUAACGCAUUAAGCACUCCGCCUGGGGAGUACGACCGCAAGGUUGAAACUCAAAGGAAUUGACGGGGGCCCGCACAAGCGGUGGAGCAUGUGGUUUAAUUCGAAGCAACGCGAAGAACCUUACCAGGUCUUGACAUCCCGAUGCUAUUUCUAGAGAUAGAAAGUUACUUCGGUACAUCGGUGACAGGUGGUGCAUGGUUGUCGUCAGCUCGUGUCGUGAGAUGUUGGGUUAAGUCCCGCAACGAGCGCAACCCCUAUUGUUAGUUGCCAUCAUUCAGUUGGGCACUCUAGCGAGACUGCCGGUAAUAAACCGGAGGAAGGUGGGGAUGACGUCAAAUCAUCAUGCCCCUUAUGACCUGGGCUACACACGUGCUACAAUGGUUGGUACAACGAGUUGCGAGUCGGUGACGGCAAGCUAAUCUCUUAAAGCCAAUCUCAGUUCGGAUUGUAGGCUGCAACUCGCCUACAUGAAGUCGGAAUCGCUAGUAAUCGCGGAUCAGCACGCCGCGGUGAAUACGUUCCCGGGCCU